CUUCAGGUGCCAACAGCAUUUCUCAGAAGGCAGGUGUUGCUGCUCUGGGGCUUGGAUAUGCUGGUGGAGAAGCUGUUGCAACAAUGGUAAAAGCAUUCCAAGAGAGGCGUGAUUUUCUAGUCAAAAGCUUUGGGGAAAUGGAAGGACUCAAAUUUUCAGAACCUCAGUAAAAUUCAGGUUUAGGCCCCAUAUUCUUAUUGAUGUGAGCAUUGACAUGAGCACCAGAGUGCUGGAAAUAAUAAGUAAACUAGACUUUGUUGGAGGAGAAGAAGAUGGAGAAGAACAAGGAUGGUGCUCAAGAAAAGUUGGAGGUUUACUGGGAUGAUGGAUAUGGGACUCAAACUGUGAAGGAUUAUCUUGAAUUAGCCAAA
Long non-coding RNA from Ipomoea triloba (trilobed morning glory), 371 nucleotides. RefSeq lists it as uncharacterized. NCBI's taxonomy places the organism in Eukaryota, Viridiplantae, Streptophyta, Magnoliopsida, Solanales, Convolvulaceae. The transcript has 2 exons. The record is from RefSeq and is a predicted model, not a curated record.